RNAcentral lists this ribosomal RNA (252 nucleotides) under uncultured bacterium. RNAcentral describes it as "partial 16S ribosomal RNA". It matches the Rfam family "Bacterial small subunit ribosomal RNA", at positions 524 to 776 of the family's 1533-position model. The record is from RNAcentral.
GACAGAGGGUGCAAACGUUGCUCGGAAUUACUGGGCGUAAAGCGCGUGUAGGUGGAUUGUGUGUCAGAUGUGAAAUCCCUGGGCUCAACCCAGGAACUGCACCUGAAACUACCAGUCUUGAGUGGUGGAGAGGGAAGUGGAAUUCCUGGUGUAGAGGUGAAAUUCGUAGAUAUCAGGAGGAACACCAGUGGCGAAGGCGGCUUCCUGGACACCAACUGACGCUGAGACGCGAAAGCGUGGGGAGCAAACAGG